Molecule: ribosomal RNA, 497 nt
Filed under: uncultured bacterium
Lineage: Bacteria
Description: partial 16S ribosomal RNA
Rfam family: Bacterial small subunit ribosomal RNA
Source: RNAcentral
GAUGAACGCUGGCGGCGUGCCUAAUACAUGCAAGUCGAGCGAACAGACGAGGAGCUUGCUCCUCUGACGUUAGCGGCGGACGGGUGAGUAACACGUGGAUAACCUACCUAUCAGACUGGGAUCACUUCGGGAAACCGGAGCUAAUACCGGAUAAUAUAUUGAACCGCAUGGUUCAAUAGUGAAAGACGGUUUUGCUGUCACUUAUAGCUGGAUCCGCGCCGCAUUAGCUAGUUGGUAAGGUAACGGCUUACCAAGGCGACGAUGCGUAGCCGACCUGAGAGGGUGAUCGGCCACACUGGAACUGAGACACGGUCCAGACGCCUACGGGAGGCAGCAGUAGGGAAUCUUCCGCAAUGGGCGAAAGCAUGACGGAGCAACGCCGAGUGAGUGAUGAAGGUCUUCGGAUCGUAAAACUCUGUUAUUAGGGAAGAACAAAUGUGUAAGUAACUAUGCACGGCUUGACGGUACCUAAUCAGAAAGCCACGGCUAACUACGUG